This 499-nucleotide ribosomal RNA is filed under the name uncultured bacterium. Its description in RNAcentral is "bacterial SSU rRNA". It matches the Rfam family "Bacterial small subunit ribosomal RNA", at positions 28 to 524 of the family's 1533-position model. The record is from RNAcentral.
GAUGAACGCUGGCGGCGUGCCUAAUACAUGCAAGUUGAGCGGGAGGUUUACCUCCAGCAGCGAACGGGUGAGUAACACGUAUCUAACCUGCCCUUAAGUCUGGAAUAACGUUGGGAAACCGACGCUAAUGCCGGAUAGGUAAUUGAAUCUUAUGAAUUAAUUAUUAAAGAAGCGUUUGCUUCGCUAAAGGAUGGGGAUGCGCAGCAUUAGAUAGUUGGUGGGGUAAUUGCCCACCAAGUCAACGAUGCUUAGCCGACCUGAGAGGGUGAUCGGCCACACUGGGACUGAGACACGGCCCAGACUCCUACGGGGAGGCAGCAGUAGGGGAAUCUUCCGCAAUGGACGAAAGUCUGACGGAGCAACGCCGCGUGAGUGAUGAAGGUUUUCGGAUCGUAAAACUCUGUUGUCAGGGAAGAACAAGUACCGGAGUAACUGCCGGUACCUUGACGGUACCUGACCAGAAAGCCACGGCUAACUACGUGCCAGCCGCCGCGGUAAU